CAGCAGCCACGGUAAUACGUAGGUGGCAAGCGUUGUCCGGAUUUAUUGGGCGUAAAGCGAGCGCAGGCGGUCAAUUAAGUCUGAUGUGAAAGCCCCCGGCUCAACCGGGGAGGGUCAUUGGAAACUGGUUGACUUGAGUGCAGAAGAGGAGAGUGGAAUUCCAUGUGUAGCGGUGAAAUGCGUAGAUAUAUGGAGGAACACCAGUGGCGAAGGCGACUCUCUGGUCUGUAACUGACGCUGAGGCUCGAAGGCGUGGGUAGCAAACAGGAUUAGAUACCCCAGUAGUCCCUGUCUCUUAUAC
RNAcentral lists this ribosomal RNA (301 nucleotides) under uncultured bacterium. RNAcentral describes it as "partial 16S ribosomal RNA". It matches the Rfam family "Bacterial small subunit ribosomal RNA", at positions 509 to 807 of the family's 1533-position model. The record is from RNAcentral.